UACGGAGGGUGCAAGCAUUAAUCGGAUUUAUUGGGCGUAAAGGGCGCGUAGGCGGGGGCGUAAGUCAGAUGUGAAAGCCCGGGGCUCAACCUCGGAAUUGCAUUUGAAACUGCAUCUCUAGAGGAUAGGCGGAGAAAAUGGAAUUCCACAAGUAGCGGUGAAAUGCGUAGAUAUGUGGAAGAACACCAGUGGCGAAGGCGGUUUUCUAGCUUAUACCUGACGCUGAUGCGCGAAAGCAAGGGGAUCAAACAGG
This 253-nucleotide ribosomal RNA is filed under the name uncultured bacterium. RNAcentral's name for it is "partial 16S ribosomal RNA". It matches the Rfam family "Bacterial small subunit ribosomal RNA", at positions 524 to 776 of the family's 1533-position model. The record is from RNAcentral.